UCCAGACUCCUACGGGAGGCAGCAGUAGGGAAUUUUCGGCAAUGGGGGGAACCCUGACCGAGCAACGCCGCGUGAACGAAGAAGUUAUUCGUAAUGUAAAGUUCUUUUAUCAGGGAAGAAAGAGGAAUUUGACGGUACCUGAGGAAUAAGCCCCGGCUAACUACGUGCCAGCAGCCGCGGUAAUACGUAGGGGGCAAGCGUUAUCCGGAUUUACUGGGUGUAAAGGGAGCGUAGACGGCCAGACAAGUCUGAAGUGAAAAUCCAGCGCUUAACGUUGGAAGUGCUUUGGAAACUGCCGGGCUAGAGUGCAGGAGGGGCAGGCGGAAUUCCUAGUGUAGCGGUGAAAUGCGUAGAUAUUAGGAGGAACACCAGUGGCGAAGGCGGCCUGCUGGACGAUGACUGACGUUGAGGCUCGAAAGCGUGUGGAGCAAACAGGAUUAGAUACCCUAGUA
This 452-nucleotide ribosomal RNA is filed under the name uncultured bacterium. Its description in RNAcentral is "bacterial SSU rRNA". It matches the Rfam family "Bacterial small subunit ribosomal RNA", at positions 330 to 792 of the family's 1533-position model. The record is from RNAcentral.